This 95-nucleotide transfer RNA is filed under the name Armatimonadota bacterium. RNAcentral describes it as "Armatimonadetes bacterium (activated sludge metagenome) tRNA-Sec". It matches the Rfam family "Selenocysteine transfer RNA". Lineage: Bacteria; Bacillati; Armatimonadota. The record is from RNAcentral.
GGGAGCGAAUGGGGGCUGGUGUCCCUGACGGGCUUCAAACCCGAUUGGAGGCGUUAACCGUCUUCGGUAGGUUCAAUUCCUACGCGCUCCCGCCA